GCCUCUGUAGCUCAGUUGCAUGGUUAGAGCGCUGCUCCGGAAUCGCAGGGCUCUAGGUUCAAUUCCUACCAGAGGAU
Molecule: non-coding RNA, 77 nt
Organism: Paramuricea clavata
Lineage: Eukaryota; Metazoa; Cnidaria; Anthozoa; Malacalcyonacea; Plexauridae
Source: the annotation of a GenBank genome assembly